Hibiscus syriacus is the source of this 625-nucleotide long non-coding RNA. RefSeq lists it as uncharacterized. The record is from RefSeq and is a predicted model, not a curated record. The transcript has 3 exons. NCBI's taxonomy places the organism in Eukaryota, Viridiplantae, Streptophyta, Magnoliopsida, Malvales, Malvaceae.
GGAACCACAUAUGAAUAAGAUAUUUUGGAUUUUUAUUCAUGAGAUUCAUCAAGUGAGCCAAUGCUUUAUUUCUUGAAGAGAGCAUAUUGACCUAGUAUCAUCAGGCGCAAGAGAAAUCAUGGAUUUUUCGCUCGGGCAAAAUUCAGUGUGUCAGAAUGGUAGUUAGCGGUUUCUUUUAAACAUUAGUACCGCCCUUGGUCGGUAAUAAGGAACAGCAUAGCUCGAGUUCAAAAUCAUCGGAAGGUCGCCAGAUGCAAACUGACAUGUUUUGUUUUAAGAAAACCAAAUGCCUUUUGGUAGAUCUACAAUGAUCCAUAAGGUUUCUCGAUGAAUGGAAGUCAGAUCUAGGAUGAGGAGGCUAAGAUGAUUCGAACAUGUAAAUGAAGUUUCGAACGGUGACAAAAUAGGCGGUUGAUGCGGUGUACUGGCGAUCGUUUGACAAGCUUUCUUGCUUCACCUACAGAGCAGAACAUGAAGAAAGAAAAAAAAAUUAAAAAUGAACGUGAAAUGAGAAAUGGAAUGCACGUGAUUUUGGGGUUGUAUUAAAGUGAAAAAUGAGUAAAUCACAAGGCGUGUCAUCCAAGUUUGAAAAAGAUUGGAAGCUAGAAAUCAAGUUGGUGAACUG